UGGAUCCAGACUUUGAUUAUGGCUCAGGAUGAACGCUAGCUACAGGCUUAACACAUGCAAGUCGAGGGGAAACGACAUCGAAAGCUUGCUUUUGAUGGGCGUCGACCGGCGCACGGGUGAGUAACGCGUAUCCAACCUGCCCAUCACUUGGGAAUAACCUUGCGAAAGUAAGACUAAUGCCCAAUGAUAUCCCACGAAGGCAUCCGAAUGGGAUUAAAGAUUUAUCGGUGAUGGAUGGGGAUGCGUCUGAUUAGCUUGUUGGCGGGGUAACGGCCCACCAAGGCAACGAUCAGUAGGGGUUCUGGGAGGAAGGUCCCCCACAUUGGAACUGAGACACGGUCCAAACUCCUACGGGAGGCAGCAGUGAGGAAUACUCGUCAAUGGGCGAGAGCCUGAACCAGCCAAGUAGCGUGCAGGAUGACGGCCCUAUGGGUUGUAAACUGCUUUUAUAAGGGAAUAAAGUGAGUCUCGUGAGACUUUUUGCAUGUACCUUAUGAAUAAGGACCGGCUAAUUCCGUGCCAGCAGCCGCGGUAAUACGGAAGGUCCGGGCGUUAUCCGGAUUUAUUGGGUUUAAAGGGAGCGUAGGCCGGAGAUUAAGCGUGUUGUGAAAUGUAGUGGCUCAACCUCUGCACUGCAGCGCGAACUGGUCUUCUUGAGUACGCACAACGUGGGCGGAAUUCGUGGUGUAGCGGUGAAAUGCUUAGAUAUCACGAAGAACUCCGAUUGCGAAGGCAGCUCACGGGAGCGCAACUGACGCUGAAGCUCGAAAGUGCGGGUAUCGAACAGGAUUAGAUACCCUGGUAGUCCGCACGGUAAACGAUGGAUGCCCGCUGUUGGCCUGAAUAGGUCAGCGGCCAAGCGAAAGCAUUAAGCAUCCCACCUGGGGAGUACGCCGGCAACGGUGCAACU
Molecule: ribosomal RNA, 910 nt
Filed under: uncultured Bacteroidota bacterium
Lineage: Bacteria; Pseudomonadati; Bacteroidota
Description: bacterial SSU rRNA
Rfam family: Bacterial small subunit ribosomal RNA
Source: RNAcentral